This 142-nucleotide unclassified non-coding RNA is filed under the name uncultured Capnodiales. RNAcentral describes it as "sequence contains ITS2". The record is from RNAcentral. Lineage: Eukaryota; Fungi; Ascomycota; Dothideomycetes; Capnodiales.
CACCAAUCAAGCCUGGCUUGGUAUUGGGCCACGGGGGUGACCCGGGCCUCAAAGUUUGUCGGCUGGAUAGCUCUGAUCUCAGCGUCGUGAUAAUCAAUUCGCCGACGAGAAGGGUGGUCCACGCCGUGAAAUCCAUCACAGG